RNAcentral lists this ribosomal RNA (162 nucleotides) under Mesembryanthemum tomentosum. Its description in RNAcentral is "5.8S ribosomal RNA". It matches the Rfam family "5.8S ribosomal RNA". From Rfam's summary of the family: 5.8S ribosomal RNA (5.8S rRNA) is a component of the large subunit of the eukaryotic ribosome. The record is from RNAcentral. Lineage: Eukaryota; Viridiplantae; Streptophyta; Magnoliopsida; Caryophyllales; Aizoaceae.
AACGACUCUCGGCAACGGAUAUCUCGGCUCUCGCAUCGAUGAAGAACGUAGCGAAAUGCAAUACUUGGUGUGAAUUGCAGAAUCCCGUGAACCAUCGAGUCUUUGAACGCAAGUUGCGCCCGAAGCCUUCGGGCCGAGGGCACGUCUGCCUGGGCGUCACGC